AGGGUCCUCCCACCCCCGCGUGGGCCAUCCCGGCCCAGCCUUCCCGAGGCCCCGGGUACUCGCCUUGCGCUCGGGUCGCGGAGUUCGAAAAGCGAGACAGGGUCUCACUUUGUCACCCAGGCUGGAGUGUAGUGAGGCAAUCUCAGCUCAUUGCGCCUCCGCCUCUGGGUCCAAGCUAUCCUCCCACGUCAGCCUCCCAGGUAGCUGGGAUUACAGGCGCGCACCAUCAGCCAAGACAUAGUCUCAUCACUCUGUCACCCAGGCUGGAAUGUAGUAGUGCAAUCUCGGCUCUCUGCAACCUUCACCUCCUGGAUUCAAGUGAUUCUCCUGCCUCAGCCUCCUGAGUAGCUGGGAUUACAGUGCGAGGGAUAUUUCUGCUGACAAUUCAACAUUCAAAGGGAUGAGUGUAUGACGUCUCUAAGAGAUGUCAUGGAGUGCAUGUAGAAGGGACUUUUUAUGGAGAACUACUUCUCAAAUCACUAUUCACAUCCUGGUAGAAGUCAAGCAAUGAAGAUGGCACAGAAACACAUCCCAAAUACUAUGAUACCAUAAAGUAUACUGUAGCAAUGCAUUGGCACACCCUCAUUUGAACAUUUGUCUCAGAAGAUUUUGACAGAAGAUAAAAUUGUCUGGUUUUUAUUUCAUUGGUUUCAUGAAAAUUUAUUUCACUGGUUUCAUGUCACAGGCCCAUGACUGUAUAAAGAGUCAUAAUCUUUACAAACACAACAAUGACUCACAGCGACAUGUUGCAAAGCUGUAAUCGAAAACACUGAUGUUGAUUUCAGAGGCCAUUAAUGGUGUUAAGAAGGCGCUUUUGUUAACCAAAUAAUUGAAUACUCGUAAUUACUUUUCAGUUCUAGUUCAGUUCUUGACACCAAAACAAGCCAUUUUCUUUACAUAGUGAAUGCAGAACUUGCCAGUAAGAACUUUCAUACUAAACUUCUAUGUAAAACAAAACAUGUCAAAAUCAGUAACUACUUUAAUGGAAUGGUAAAGAAUUUACUUAAACACAAAGGAAUGAAAAUAUCUCUGCAAAUAUGUCUAUUGACUUUUCAAAUUUGGUGACUUCUUUCGAAUUAAUUCCCUUACGUCUGUUCCUCAUCCACAUAAAAAUGACAAAAAUGAAAGAUAAUUUUCCAGCCUAUAAUUAAAUUUCUCCAUUGUUGGUAUAUGUUUUUUCAAAUACAUUUUUCAGUUUUCAUAAUUCAUAUGAGAAUUAUUAAAAGGGAGUUAGUUGCCUUUAGGACCUUAUUUGGAGCCUAAUUCUUAAAAAUUGUGUAAAAAUAAUUGUGACUUUUAAGAGACAAUUGGAAAUUUGAACCUGACCACAUUUUUGUGAUAUUAAGGAAUUUUAUUAAUUAUUUUCUAGGUGGGGGAAUGAUAUGAUGAUAUUCUUAAAAUAAUGUGUGGAUUGUUUAUUACAUUUCAACAUUUUCUUAAUCAUCAAA
This is a long non-coding RNA of Homo sapiens (human), 1448 nucleotides long. The record is from Ensembl. NCBI's taxonomy places the organism in Eukaryota, Metazoa, Chordata, Mammalia, Primates, Hominidae.